RNAcentral lists this small RNA (1439 nucleotides) under Rattus norvegicus (Norway rat). Its description in RNAcentral is "uncharacterized LOC102553276". Lineage: Eukaryota; Metazoa; Chordata; Mammalia; Rodentia; Muridae. The record is from RNAcentral.
AGUUUUACAAGCUUUCUGGGAUUCUGUUGUUUGUUUGAUAGAUUUUUUUUUUAAGUCCAGUUUGGGGAUGAUGUUUUCUCUGCUUAUUUCAAACUUCUGAUUAGUUGCCUUAACCUCAAUUUCUUUCUACUUGUAUUGAUGGCUUAAAAUUAUUCACCUUCCCCCACUGUCCCUCUGUCCUGUACAGUGAGUCAGAUCGCAUGCCCUCCCCCAUCCCCGGCUCUAUCUAAGUGGUCCAAUUUUCUGGUUUUUACUGGAAGUCAGAUCAAAACUACUUUUCCCCCCUUGAGAUCUAACUCUAACCCUCUGGGAGAUGUAAGUGUGAUAGAGUCUUAUUAUUAAUUUGUCCCACAGGUAGGCUUUGAUUUAUUUUCCCCUUUCCUUAACAUUUCGUUAUUCUUUCAAACCUAUUCUAUCUAGCAAUUGAUGUCCCCACCUGUGUGCACUACUCCUAGUACUUGAAGUUAAUAGCAAAAUCUAGUUCAUCUUAUUUCACAUGCAACGUCAAUUCCCAAUUCUCAAUAACAGGAAAUUCAACAUCAAACACCCAUGUACAAACUUUAAAUCAGCCUGAAAAUCUACAUGGAUGGCCAUCUUAAGGAAGUUCCUCUCAUUUCCCACUCAUUGAAUAAUUCUUUAAAAUGAUCAAUUUCCCAAGACUCUAGCUGACUUGUUUGGCAUAAACAAUUACCUGCGUGGAUGGAGGAUAGUUUCUCUAAACCAUCAAACCAAUACAUUAUCAAGUACAUCUGGAUGCUGGUCAACAGACUGACUUAGAUACACAAUACAAGGACAACUGGCUUUCCAUUCCAGAGAUGAUGCAGAUUUUUCUGCUUUUGCAAGAUUAAACAGAAAUAUGAACUUCUGCCGCAACCUCAAAGGUUUGCAGACAAGCAGGUGCGGGGACCUCGCUGAUCUUGCUCUAAGUCGAAAGGAGGAGUAGAAAUUGUGCCAUAAACAAUUCUCUAUUGUUUGCAUUUCCACACAACCACUGUCGUUGGAACACAGAAUGCAGAAAGUAAAAGCAUCUCAGAAUUCCUGUAAGGUUUAUAAGCCCCUCUGUUAGGCUUUGUCCUUUUGUGCGGAGUUUCCUUUAUCACAGUCACUAUCAUUUUCUCAAUGUAAUGAUUACCUUUGAAGAAGUUGGUGGUGUGUGUGUGGGAAGAGCUGAACUUUGAAGUCCCAUAGCUUGAGAAAAUGUUAAACUAAUUUCCACAGUGGCUUCAUGUGUUCAAAUCCCCAUCAACUGCGAACCAUCUAGCUUCGUGAGUUUUGCUGUCAACAACUAGAGGGUACACGAAUCUCUCGGUAAUUACAGAGCUAGCCUCCUGAACGACUUCCAUGAUUAAAAAAUUUCAUCAUCAAAGGUACCCUAAGAAGCAAGAAGUUCAGCUAUAUGGUGGAUCAAGACAAUUAUUAAACUCAGGAAAGAAUGAAAU